AUUGAACGCUGGCGGCAUGCCUUACACAUGCAAGUCGAACGGAAGCACGGGUGCUUGCACCUGGUGGCGAGUGGCGAACGGGUGAGUAAUACAUCGGAACGUACCUUAUCGUGGGGGAUAACGCAGCGAAAGCUGUGCUAAUACCGCAUACGCCCUGAGGGGGAAAGCGGGGGAUCGAAAGACCUCGCGCGAUUAGAGCGGCCGAUGCCUGAUUAGCUUGUUGGUGGGGUAAAAGCCCACCAAGGCGACGAUCAGUAGCUGGUCUGAGAGGACGAUCAGCCACACUGGGACUGGGACACGGCCCAGACUCCUACGGGAGGCAGCAGUGGGGAAUUUUGGACAAUGGGGGCAACCCUGAUCCAGCAAUGCCGCGUGAGUGAAGAAGGCCUUCGGGUUGUAAAGCUCUUUUGUCAGGGGAGAAACACCGGCUCUAACACAGUCCGGGAAUGACGGUACCUGAAGAAUAAGCACCGGCUAACUACGUGCCAGCAGCCGCCGCCG
RNAcentral lists this ribosomal RNA (501 nucleotides) under uncultured bacterium. RNAcentral's name for it is "partial 16S ribosomal RNA". It matches the Rfam family "Bacterial small subunit ribosomal RNA", at positions 29 to 523 of the family's 1533-position model. The record is from RNAcentral.